Molecule: ribosomal RNA, 419 nt
Filed under: uncultured eukaryote
Lineage: Eukaryota
Description: bacterial SSU rRNA
Rfam family: Eukaryotic small subunit ribosomal RNA
Source: RNAcentral
CAAUAGCGUAUAUUAAAGUUGUUGCAGUUAAAAAGCUCGUAGUUGGAUCUCAGGAGGACUUCAGUUGGUCGGCCGAACUGGUCAGAACCGUCUGUCUCUUCCUUGUUUCUGAAUCCCGCCUGGAGUUCAUUCUUCAGGUGUGGACUUCAGAUCGUUUACCUUGAAAAAAUUAGAGUGUUCAAAGCGGGCGUUUGCUUGAAUAUAUUAGCAUGGAAUAAUGGAAUAGGACCCUGGUCCUAUUUUGUUGGUUUUGAGGACUAGAGUAAUGAUUAAUAGGGAUAGUUGGGGGCAUUAGUACUUAACUGUCAGAGGUGAAAUUCUCCGAUUUGUUAAAGACUAACUUAUGCGAAAGCAUUUGCCAAGGAUGUUUUCAUUAAUCAAGAACGAAAGUUAGGGGAUCAAAGACGAUCAGAUACCGU